GACGAACGCUGGCUGCGUGCUUAACACAUGCAAGUCGAACGGUAAGGCCCUUCGGGGUACACGAGUGGCGAACGGGUGAGUAACACGUGGGUUAUCUGCCCUGCACUUCGGGAUAAGCCUGGGAAACUGGGUCUAAUACCGGAUAGGACCACUGCCUGCAGGGGUGGGGGGGGAAAGCUUUUGCGGUGUGGGAAGGGCCCGCGGCCUAUCAGCUUGUUGGUGGGGUGAUGGCCUACCAAGGCGACGACGGGUAGCCGGACUGAGAGGGUGACCGGCCGCACGGGGAAUGAGAUACGGCCCAGACUCCUACGGGAGGCAGCAGUGGGGAAUAUUGCACAAUGGGCGCAAGCCUGAUGCAGCGACGCCGCGUGAGGGAUGACGGCCUUCGGGUUGUAAACCUCUUUCAGCACCGACGAAGCGCAAGUGACGGUAGGUGCAGAAGAAGGACCGGCCAACUACGUGCCAGCAGCCGCGGUAA
Molecule: ribosomal RNA, 478 nt
Filed under: uncultured bacterium
Lineage: Bacteria
Description: partial 16S ribosomal RNA
Rfam family: Bacterial small subunit ribosomal RNA
Source: RNAcentral